CAAUAGCGUAUAUUAAAGUUGUUGCAGUUAAAAGCUCGUAGUUGGAUUUCGGAACCGGCCGAUUGGUCCGUCCUCUGGAUCGUGUACUGAUCGGUCUGUUCUUCUUCGCGAAGACCGCGUGUGCCCUUAACUGGGUGGGCGCGGGAUUCGCGACGUUUACUUUGAAAAAUUAGAUUGUUCAAAGCAGGCUAUUGCUUGAAUACAUGAGCAUGGAAUAAUGGAAUAGGACUUUGGUCCCAUUUGUUGGUUUCUAGGGCCGAAGUAAUGAUUAAGAGGGACAAUUGGGGCAGUCCGCUAUUUCGUUGUCAGAGGUGAAAUUCUUGGAUUUACGAAAGACGAACAACUGCGAAAGCACUUGCCAAGAGUGUUUUCAUUAAUCAAGAACGAAAAUUAGAGGAUCGAAGACGAUCAGAUACCA
This 418-nucleotide ribosomal RNA is filed under the name uncultured eukaryote. Its description in RNAcentral is "bacterial SSU rRNA". It matches the Rfam family "Eukaryotic small subunit ribosomal RNA", at positions 592 to 1017 of the family's 1831-position model. The record is from RNAcentral.